GGGCGAGUGGUGAAACUGGCAGACACGACGGACUUAAAAUCCGUUGGCCCCAACGGCCGUGAGGGUUCGAUUCCCUCCUCGCCCA
Molecule: transfer RNA, 85 nt
Filed under: Pseudomonadota bacterium
Lineage: Bacteria; Pseudomonadati; Pseudomonadota
Also listed under: 2 other names
Description: tRNA-Leu
Rfam family: tRNA
About the family: Transfer RNA (tRNA) molecules are approximately 80 nucleotides in length.
Source: RNAcentral